CGAGAGGGGAGAAAGCGAAACCACCACUGGGGUCAUUGGCACCGGUCCCCGGACAGGGGCUGGGACCACCUGUUGGGAGAGGAAGGCAAGGAAGCCGUAUAGGAGCCCCUCGGGGUAGAGGGCGGUUUGCUAAGGGGCGGGAGGGAGGUUCGGAUCGCGCACCGGGAGCCAUUCUACGGCGGUGGCGAGCCUUCCCUCAUCCCUCCACCUGUCGGGCCGCGGCUUCAGGAAGCCAGGCAACUCCAGCUCCACCCCCGCCCCCGGCCCGUCACCGCGCUCGGGCAAAAGUCCACCGUCUCAGCCGCUCCUACCGCUUCCGCCAGCGCCCGACCUGCCAAGGCCGGGCAGGAGGGGCGAGGAAGAGAAACUUUACUCCAGUCCCCCCUUUCACACGCCGCUGGCACCCGGGGCCCUAACUAACCCAGAGAGGACCCUCACUCCCCGCGCCUCCUUCCCCCGGGGAAGCAGCGAGGAUGGGGUAGCGGGGUCCGGGCAGUGGAACAGCUCAAGAAGCGUGCCAGUUUAGAGGUAUUUCCAGAAUGAGUGCUGUGGAACUUUCAGAUUUAUAUGUUGACGCUCUAACCCCAAAUGUGACCGGAUUGGAGGCAGGGCCUUUGGGAUACAGGUUGAGAUGAGGUCCUGAGGGUGCAGUCCCCGUGACGGGAUUAGUGCCCUAUAAGCAGAGGAAGAGAUGCCAGAGUUUCCUUUCUCUGCCCUGUGAGGACACAAUGAGGAGGUGCCAUCUACAAGCCCGGAAGAAGGGCCUCACCAGAACCCGACCAUGCUGGCACCCCGGUCCUGGACUGGUAGCUUCCAGAACUGUGAGAUGAGAAAGCAGAGAAAUAGUCAAUGGCCACACAGCUGGUGAUUUGCAGAGCCGAAACUCAGAUACGAGAUCAUGCCUGGUAGUGGGCACCUUCCCUGCCCAGACUGUAAUUAGGAUUCCGAGCUGGACUGCCUGGCACAUGGAGCACCUACUUUCUACCAUCUAUCCUUCUCAAUUGCUAUGCAAAGGGACUAAAAUCCAAUCUUUGCCCCGUGGAAGCUCACAGCCCAUCGCACCAACUAGCAUCUACUGAGCAACUAAGUACAUGGUCAGUAAGCAUUUUUGAAGUAAUGGAUUAAUGAGUGUCUAGAAUUAGGCCUUUGUCUUAAGAGUCCUAAGAUCAGUUGAGGAUGCAGACAAGGGAUAUUUAAAGACUGAGCCAAAAGUGUAAGUAUCUAAACUGUGUUCACCAAGCUCUUGCAAAUUGGAGGGGCUAUAACUGCUCUGUACAUAGCUAUUCUAGGAGAGGGAAAAGUAUUUUUGCUCUACCUAUUUGAAAUUCAUUGGCUGGGGGCCUCAAAUUAAACUGACAACAGACAGAUUAACAUGAGAAAAGCAAAUGGAAGUUGAUUAACAUGUGCAUUGCAUAUAGACCCAGGAACACUCUGAUGAGUAGAUCCAAGGAGUGGUUAAAACUUGGGCUUAUCUGGCAUCUUGGGUUUACUAAUACAUGACAUUUUAGUGAAGUACAAUACUUUUGUAGAGAAGUGACAAGACAAAAGAAAAGGACUUUGAGCUUCUAGUGGUGGCAAAUUAUGAGAAGGCACGUAUGAGGGGAAAGGAAGGGCAGAUAAGGGCUAGUUAGUAAGGUUUGCUGAGGACCAUCUUGCCUCUAAUGAUAAGGUUGUUUUCCCCUUCCUAGUUUAGGAAGUGGAGAAGGGAGAAUCAUAACAAAGGGAGUUCAUGUUCUGUUUUCAGGUAGAUAGGGGAGGGUGGAGAGCUUUCUUAUCUCUGCUUCUUAAUUGCCUUCAACUCAAAAUAAUCCUUGUGCCAAAGGGCAUAUUUUGGGUUAGCAGAUUAUGCUACUCUUUGCUAUAAACCAGCAAAAAGUGCGGUGUUGUCUCUGAGAUAGAAGGAUUUACUCUGUGCUAGGUACUGUGCUAGCUACUUGUAAUUAUUACCUGGUUGACCUCCUCAUAACCUCUCAGGCAGGUUCUAUUAUUAUUCCAAUACCCAUUUUCAUACCCAGGAAGAGUGAAAUGUCAAGAGUGACUUGUCCCCAACAGGCAAGUCAACAAGCGAUUAUGGACUUGAGCAGAUCUGAAUCUAAACUCCACUGGACAUGGCACCUUGGCUCCACUAUUUGUCACAUUGAUGUCACAAACAACAGGAAGGAGCUUCUUGGUAGGCAAAACAGCAGCUAUAAUUGUUUCUUUUUCCUCUUCCUCCUCUAAGGGGACGCACUUUACCUAGAGCAGCUAGCCCAAAGCUUUCAGGCAGGUUUCUUAGAAUUUAGCACACCCACACUGAUUCCAGAAACAGAUAGGUAUGAAGAGAGGCCCACUGGGAAAAGGAACCUGAACUCUCUCUGCAAGGAUAGCUAGUCCAGGGAGAGAGAAAGCAAACAGCCUGGGACCAGACUAAUUUGAGGAAUGAAGGCAUACCAUGGGAGGGGCUGAGUCAUUGGAUCUUCGGGGACAUGCCAACUAAGAUAAAUACAUUGGAUUUCAGUGUGUUGGACAGAAUCACUACAGCCCUGCAGGCUCUUAAACACAACGCCAACCUGCGCACGGAAGACAUCUGCCCUUUUGGCAAGGUCAAAAAGAUUUCCAUUCCCACCAGGCAAAUUUCCCUCAGAGUACAAAUUCCAGCCCAAAUUGUCAGAGACCAGAUAAACUUUUACUAACACUGUCCUGGCCCUUCCCCUUCCAUUGUCCACAGCCCCAGGGGCUCCUGCCUCCUGAGUCAUUAUCUAAAUGGCUGAUGGGCAGAAACUAACAGCCAUGCACUGGGAAUGCAAGGUCGCCAUUAACUGGGUUUCUGUGUAACUGAAGGUGGGGUAAAACCGGCCUUGUUUCAUCCCUUGCUAUUGAAAAUCUCUCUAAACUGUUAGUUCACUCACCUGCCUAAGUUUCUGGAGCAGAAUGAAAAUAAUUACAUUUUUGCUGGAUGAUCAGACAUCUUGCAGUGCCUUGGGGCACUGUUCUGCUUAGCGGCUUAAAUUAAAAUUUCACUGUGGUUGUAGACUUUUGUAAGAAAUUGGGCUCCAACUGUUCUAAGUUGAAGAAGAAAAUAAUUUAAUUUGCUUUUGUUGAGAGAUGCACAGUAUUUUGCCUUCCCGGUGCCUAGCAGAGUGUCAGGAAUACUUCCUUGAAAAUUUUCUCUCCAAUGCUGACAGACAGAGUCUAUGAAUGCCUGACAUGGAUUUAGUUUUUACAGCUAUUUUUCCUAAUAAUAAUUGUAUCUGCUCUUUAUUGAUCAAUCAGUGAUUGUUCCAGGCUUUGUGCUAAGCCCUUUGCAUGAUUUACAUCAAUCAUUUCAUCCCUUUUUGCCACGCAGUGGGUGGUCUUCAUUCUAAAGAGGAAACUGAGCCCUGACUGGUGUGCUAAGUGGUUAGCGCAUCAGCUCCCUGCACCAAAGGGUGUCAGGUUCAACUCCCCAUCAAGGGCACAUACCUGGUUUGCAGGUUAGAUCCCUGGCCCUGGUCAGGGGCAUAGCAUGUG
Long non-coding RNA from Myotis myotis, 3489 nucleotides. RefSeq lists it as uncharacterized. The transcript has 4 exons. The record is from RefSeq and is a predicted model, not a curated record. Lineage: Eukaryota; Metazoa; Chordata; Mammalia; Chiroptera; Vespertilionidae.